UACGAAGGGGGCUAGCGUUGCUCGGAAUCACUGGGCGUAAAGGGUGCGUAGGCGGGUCUUUAAGUCAGGGGUGAAAUCCUGGAGCUCAACUCCAGAACUGCCCUUGAUACUGAGGGUCUUGAGUAUGGGAGAGGUGAGUGGAACUGCGAGUGUAGAGGUGAAAUUCGUAGAUAUUCGCAAGAACACCAGUGUCGAAGGCGGCUCACUGGCCCAUUACUGACGCUGAGGCACGAAAGCGUGGGGAGCAAACAGG
RNAcentral lists this ribosomal RNA (253 nucleotides) under uncultured bacterium. RNAcentral's name for it is "partial 16S ribosomal RNA". It matches the Rfam family "Bacterial small subunit ribosomal RNA", at positions 524 to 776 of the family's 1533-position model. The record is from RNAcentral.